CCACCCCCCACCCCUAGCCUCGAAUGAGAAACGAGAAGCUCCUCCGAGAGGACAGGGUCCGGUCCCGGGGGGUGCCGGGGCCCAAACCUGGGGAGGAGCCCGGCCCGGCCCUGCCCUGCCCUUCCGCAGGGCAGCGAAGCCUGAUGGGCUGGAGCGGCGUCUGUCCCUCCUCUGCGCUCCCUCCCCCUCAGCUGCAGGGUGUGCGCGCGCACGCGAGAUUGUCCAAAGCCACAGGGAAAAUGGUGGAAAAUUCACCGUCGCCAUUACCAGAAAGAGCGAUUUAUGGCUUUGUUCUUUUCUUAAGCUCCCAGUUUGGCUUCAUACUAUAUCUUGUGUGGGCUUUUAUUCCUGAAACUUGGCUAAACUCCUUAGGCUUAACCUACUGGCCUCAAAAGUAUUGGGCGAUUGCAUUGCCCGUCUACCUCCUCAUUACUAUAGUAAUCGGUUAUGUACUCUUGUUUGGAAUAAACAUGAUGAGUACCUCUCCACUCAACUCCAUUCAUACGAUCACAGAUAUUAGCUCAGUAAACUAUGUGGUGGAUCUCCAUAAACCACAGAAACCGUAGAAGAAAUUACUUAGGUUGUUUCUUGGGUUUUUUUCUCACUCAAACAUUCAUCUGAAUGAAUAUAGAGAAAUAACCAACUUUCAUCUGCCACUUCUUAUGGGAAGACAAUCUACUUUCGUUCUUUUGGGCAUUUAGAAAAUGUUUGUUGCUGUCAGCAACCCAAAAGAUGAGCUCCCUGCCCGAUGUGGGGCUUGAACUCAUGACCUCGAGAUCAAGAGUCAUAUGCUGUACUGACUGAGCCAACCAAGCACCCCUCACCUGUUCUCUUGAUAAAGACUUCUCCUCUUGUAUUGACAAACCAGCUUUCUAAUGGGUCCCAGCCACCGUGACAGCCUCCCAUCUGACUUUCCUGUGCCCAGUCUUGCGUCUCUACAGAAAGAAUGCUCAGAGCACAAACCUGAUCCUAUCACUUUCCUGUUCAAAACUCUACAAGGCUCUUCUCCACAGCCCUCUGUGGAUCGGCCGGGCCCCUGAGCUUGCUGCGCAAGACCCUUCGACCUGGUUCCUGAACAAUGACUCUCUUCCCGAGCAUGCUGCAAGCCUUCUCUUGACAUUUCAUGUAAUGGAACCACGCAGGGUAGUCUGUGGUAUCUGGAUUCUUUCACUUGGCACAAUGUCUUCACGGUCCAUUCAUGUGUCAGCAUGUUUUACUAUUUCAUUUCAUCUUUUUUUAUUACUGAAUUACAGGGGCGCCUGGGUGGCGCAGUCGGUUGAGCGUCAUCCCAUUGCAUGGAUAGACCACAUUUUAUCGAUCCAUUCACCAGUUGAUCUACAUCUGGAUUAGUUUCAGUUUGGAAUUCUUGCAAAUAAAGCUGCUAUGGACAUUGGUGUCCAUGUCUUUGUGUGGACAAAUGUUUUCAUUUCUCCUGGGUGGACACCUGCGAGUGGUAGUGUUGGGUUGUGUGGUAAAUUUAUGUUUAACUUUUUUUUUCUAUUUGGAUUUUUUAUUUAUUGCAGUAAUAUUGAUAGACCAGUUAAAUAAAGCAUGAGCCUCCAAGCAUUGCAUAUGCUCAUUUUAUACAUUUAUAAAUCUAUCCAUUUAAAAAUAUUUACUGAGUGUUAUAACGUUCUAAGUUUUGUACUAGAGAGAAGACUCAACUUGAAAAGAAGCGAAUGAUGUGACACAUAUAAUGAAACUUAGGCAAGAAUUCUUUUUUUGGGGGGGGGGAUAUUUUUCAUUUUAUUCUGUUUUAUCAGUUUUUUUUAAUUUACACCCAAGUUAGUUAGCAUAUAAUGUUAUAAUGAUUAUAGUAUAGCAUAUAGUGUUAUAAUGACUUCAGGAGUAGAUUCCAGUGAUUCAUCUCCUACGUACAACACCCAGUGCUC
RNA transcript from Prionailurus viverrinus (fishing cat), 1892 nucleotides. It is a transcript of the gene named phosphatidylinositol glycan anchor biosynthesis class P, with no coding region annotated. The transcript has 8 exons. Lineage: Eukaryota; Metazoa; Chordata; Mammalia; Carnivora; Felidae. The record is from RefSeq and is a predicted model, not a curated record.